This 751-nucleotide ribosomal RNA is filed under the name Salinimicrobium gaetbulicola. RNAcentral describes it as "bacterial SSU rRNA". It matches the Rfam family "Bacterial small subunit ribosomal RNA", at positions 85 to 833 of the family's 1533-position model. Lineage: Bacteria; Pseudomonadati; Bacteroidota; Flavobacteriia; Flavobacteriales; Flavobacteriaceae. The record is from RNAcentral.
CCGCUGACGACCGGCGCACGGGUGCGUAACGCGUAUACAAUCUACCUUUUACAGGGGCAUAGCCCGGGGAAACCCGGAUUAAUAUCCCAUGGUAUCAUUUAGUGGCAUCACUUGAAUGAUUAAAGUUUCGGCGGUAAAAGAUGAGUAUGCGUUCUAUUAGCUAGAUGGUAAGGUAACGGCUUACCAUGGCUACGAUAGAUAGGGGUCCUGAGAGGGAGAUCCCCCACACUGGUACUGAGACACGGACCAGACUCCUACGGGAGGCAGCAGUGAGGAAUAUUGGACAAUGGGCGAGAGCCUGAUCCAGCCAUGCCGCGUGCAGGAAGACUGCCCUAUGGGUUGUAAACUGCUUUUAUACGGGAAGAAACACUCCUUCGUGAAGGAGCUUGACGGUACCGUACGAAUAAGGAUCGGCUAACUCCGUGCCAGCAGCCGCGGUAAUACGGAGGAUCCAAGCGUUAUCCGGAAUCAUUGGGUUUAAAGGGUCCGUAGGCGGGAUAAUAAGUCAGUGGUGAAAGUCUGCAGCUCAACUGUAGAACUGCCAUUGAUACUGUUGUCCUUGAGUAAUUAUGAAGUGGUUAGAAUAUGUAGUGUAGCGGUGAAAUGCAUAGAUAUUACAUAGAAUACCGAUUGCGAAGGCAGAUCACUAAUAAUUUACUGACGCUGAUGGACGAAAGCGUAGGUAGCGAACAGGAUUAGAUACCCUGGUAGUCUACGCCGUAAACGAUGGUUACUAGCUGUUUGGCUCGAU